Molecule: long non-coding RNA, 369 nt
Filed under: Salvia miltiorrhiza (redroot sage)
Lineage: Eukaryota; Viridiplantae; Streptophyta; Magnoliopsida; Lamiales; Lamiaceae
Description: long non-coding RNA (SMIL_LNC011016)
Source: RNAcentral
UCAGAAAUUCAGAAACACUCAGAAUUUAGAAUAUGUGUAUGACAAUGUGAAUUAUUUGCAUGUUUAUGCGUACGUGAAUAUUUGCAUGGUUUCUCACUGAGUAUAUUUUCAAUAUGCUCACCCUUAUCUUCUCAGUUUUGCAGUUUUGGGGUUGAGGUGGCCAUGGAAGUCGAGAAUGACUAGAGAUUUAGUAUUUUCAUAGAAAUUUAAGUUGAACAUGUUACUUUUUAGUUUAUCAUUUUUUUUCAUGCUACUACUUUAGUUUUGGCAAGUUGAUUUUAAAAUGGUUUAAACUUUUAUAAUUCAAGGAAUUUUAUUUUAUCUAUUAGUUUUUCAAGGAUUUUAUAUUAUGAAAAUUGGGGUGUUACA